CAAGGUUUUGCAUAAUCAAAUUGUUCUUUUCUCACUCUCAGUUUUGCUGACACAAGAAGGAGCAACGUGAUCUGCACACAGGCCAGUCUUCCUCAGCACUUCACACCUUAGGGUCUCCAAUACAAGAGGAAAUUAUCUCCAGCUGAUGAGAAAAAGAAUAACUGGAGCAUCCCUUGGGAGAAGGAAGUGCCUGGCACUGCCCAUAGAAUGCAGGGUGAGCUGCUGUCCGGUGUUCCUCAGCUCCAUAUGCCUCAGGUGCUGGUGAGGAGGUGUGAGUGACAGCCCAUCACUCACUUCAUGACCCAACUCGGAUUUUCUGGAGCAAGCACACAGCAAGCCUUUCCCGCACAGACCAGGAGCAUCGCUUCUCAUGGCAGCUUUUUGCAACAACUUAUGGAGGUGGAUUUCUGGAAUCUUAGGAGUAUCAUGCAUUUUGUUGAUAGCUGCAUUGGGAAUGUUGCUGCUGG
This is a long non-coding RNA of Talpa occidentalis (Iberian mole), 467 nucleotides long. RefSeq lists it as uncharacterized. Lineage: Eukaryota; Metazoa; Chordata; Mammalia; Eulipotyphla; Talpidae. The transcript has 3 exons. The record is from RefSeq and is a predicted model, not a curated record.